Long non-coding RNA from Olea europaea var. sylvestris, 371 nucleotides. RefSeq lists it as uncharacterized. NCBI's taxonomy places the organism in Eukaryota, Viridiplantae, Streptophyta, Magnoliopsida, Lamiales, Oleaceae. The record is from RefSeq and is a predicted model, not a curated record. The transcript has 3 exons.
UUUUUUCACCUUAUCUCCCUUCACUUAAUGUCUGUGUUCUUCUUACCUGUGAUAUAUCUCUUUCUAGAGACCAUUUACAUCAAUUCAGAUCUUGGGAAUACUUCCAAUUUCAGCAAAACACUGGAUAGCUUUGAUGCUUGAGUGGUCCCUCUUAAUAAGAAACUUGCAAUGUGAUGGCCAUUGGUUGCUGAAGUGAACUUCCUUUUAAACGGAGGCAAAGGGUAUGGCAUCUCGUCUUAUGUUAGUUAUUAAUGAUGUUAUAUGUACUGUUACUGAGUAACUAUGGAUUUGUUGCUGCCAUUAUUACAUUUCUGAAGUAGAUAUCUUUUUACAAAGAACUUUAUCCAACAGUUAACCUGCUUAUUCUUAAA